Molecule: long non-coding RNA, 393 nt
Organism: Ficedula albicollis (Collared flycatcher)
Lineage: Eukaryota; Metazoa; Chordata; Aves; Passeriformes; Muscicapidae
Exons: 3
Source: RefSeq, a predicted model, not a curated record
UCCAUCCUUGCUGCGCAGAGCGCUGCCAACACCGAGGCUUGGGCUGCGCGGGGAGCAGGGGUGCCCUCGAUCUGCCCCGUGCGGAGCCUUCACUGCCCCGGUGUGUGUAACCUCAGCGCUACCCCCGUGCCCGCUGGUGCCGGGCUCCUCGCUGUGCUGCAGGCAAACACAAAGGAUCGAUGUUCGGUGCCGGGUGUGUAUUUACCCGGCUCGCCUGCAUUGGUGCGGUGCUGAAGGGAGCACGCGGCAGCCGAGGGCAGUAGACACAAGGGGUGUUUCCAUGAACUCCCACCAGCACUGUCAGUGCUUCUUGUAAAUCCCGGACACUCAGAGGAAGCAGAGGACAUCUACAAUAAGAGGAGGCAGUUAGAGUCAAAGCACACCUCACAAGAG